RNAcentral lists this transfer RNA (91 nucleotides) under human gut metagenome. Its description in RNAcentral is "Selenocysteine transfer RNA". It matches the Rfam family "Selenocysteine transfer RNA". The record is from RNAcentral.
GGGUAGAUGGGUGCCGGUGUGCCUCCUGGUCUUCAAAACCAGUGUGACGUCUCAAAAGGGCGUUGGGUGGGUUCGAUUCCCACAUACUCCC